UACGUAGGGUGCAAGCGUUAAUCGGAAUUACUGGGCGUAAAGCGUGCGCAGGCGGUGAUGUAAGACAGUCGUGAAAUCCCCGGGCUCAACCUGGGAACUGCAUCUGUGACUGCAUUGCUGGAGUGCGGCAGAGGGGGAUGGAAUUCCGCGUGUAGCAGUGAAAUGCGUAGAUAUGCGGAGGAACACCGAUGGCGAAGGCAAUCCCCUGGGCCUGCACUGACGCUCAUGCACGAAAGCGUGGGGAGCAAACAGG
RNAcentral lists this ribosomal RNA (253 nucleotides) under uncultured bacterium. RNAcentral's name for it is "partial 16S ribosomal RNA". It matches the Rfam family "Bacterial small subunit ribosomal RNA", at positions 524 to 776 of the family's 1533-position model. The record is from RNAcentral.